This 376-nucleotide ribosomal RNA is filed under the name uncultured bacterium. Its description in RNAcentral is "bacterial SSU rRNA". It matches the Rfam family "Bacterial small subunit ribosomal RNA", at positions 524 to 898 of the family's 1533-position model. The record is from RNAcentral.
GACGGGGGGAGCAAGCGUUGUUCGGAUUUACUGGGCGUAAAGGGCGUCUAGGCGGGUUCGUAAGUCAUGUGUGAAACCCCCCGGCUCAACCGGGGAUCUGCACGUGAUACUGCGGAUCUUGAGUGCGGAAGAGGAAAGCGGAAUUCCAGGUGUAGCGGUGAAAUGCGUAGAUAUCUGGAAGAACACCGGUGGCGAAGGCGGCUUUCUGGUCCGUUACUGACGCUGAAGCGCGAAAGUGUGGGGAGCAAACAGGAUUAGAUACCCUGGUAGUCCACACUGUAAACGAUGGAUGCUAGGUGUCGGGGGUAUCGACUCCUCCGGUGCCGAAGCUAACGCAUUAAGCAUCCCGCCUGGGGAGUACGGUCGCAAGGCUGAA